UCCUGGUUUCCCAGGCAGUCUCACCAGAGUGCCUUGCAAAGCAAGUAGCAACUGGCGACAGGGGUUGCGCUCGUUAGAGGACUUAACCUAACAUCUCACGACACGAGCUGACGACAGCCAUGCAGCACCUGUGCAAUUGUCUAAACCGAAGCCUAGAAAACUAUAUUUCUACAGCGAUCAAAAGCAUGUCAAGUCCAGGUAAGGUUCCUCGCGUAGUGUCGAAUUAAACCACAUGUUCCACCGCUUGUGCGGACCCCCGUCAAUUCCUUUGAGUUUUAAUCUUGCGAUCGUACUCCCCAGGCGAAUCACUUAACGCGUUAGCUACGACACUAAUCCAGCUAAGCUGAACUAACGUCUAGUGAUUAUCGUUUACGGCGUGGACUAC
This 385-nucleotide unclassified non-coding RNA is filed under the name uncultured bacterium. RNAcentral's name for it is "contains 16S-23S intergenic spacer region". The record is from RNAcentral.